RNAcentral lists this ribosomal RNA (253 nucleotides) under uncultured bacterium. RNAcentral's name for it is "partial 16S ribosomal RNA". It matches the Rfam family "Bacterial small subunit ribosomal RNA", at positions 524 to 776 of the family's 1533-position model. The record is from RNAcentral.
UACGUAGGGGGCGAGCGUUGUCCGGAGUUACUGGGCGUAAAGCGCACGCAGGCGGUCUGUUAAGUUUGGAGUGACAGUUGGUGGCUUAACUGCCAAAGUGCUUCGAAAACUGACAGACUUGAGGGCUUCAGAGGGACACGGAAUUCCGGGUGGAGUGGUGAAAUGCGUUGAUAUCGGAAGGAACGCCGGUGGCGAAAGCGGUCCGCUGGCCCUCUACUGACGCUGAGGCGCGAAAGCCAGGGGAGCAAACGGG